RNAcentral lists this ribosomal RNA (648 nucleotides) under uncultured bacterium. RNAcentral's name for it is "bacterial SSU rRNA". It matches the Rfam family "Bacterial small subunit ribosomal RNA", at positions 10 to 653 of the family's 1533-position model. The record is from RNAcentral.
AGUUUGAUCCUGGCUCAGAUUGAACGCUGGCGGCAUGCCUUACACAUGCAAGUCGAACGGCAGCACGGGAGCAAUCCUGGUGGCGAGUGGCGAACGGGUGAGUAAUAUAUCGGAACGUGCCCAGUCGUGGGGGAUAACGCAGCGAAAGCUGUGCUAAUACCGCAUACGAUCUAUGGAUGAAAGCGGGGGAUCGCAAGACCUCGCGCGAUUGGAGCGGCCGAUAUCAGAUUAGCUAGUUGGUGGGGUAAAAGCCCACCAAGGCGACGACCUGUAGCUGGUCUGAGAGGACGACCAGCCACACUGGAACUGAGACACGGUCCAGACUCCUACGGGAGGCAGCAGUGGGGAAUUUUGGACAAUGGGCGCAAGCCUGAUCCAGCAAUGCCGCGUGCAGGAUGAAGGCCUUCGGGUUGUAAACUGCUUUUGUACGGAACGAAACGGCGAACUCUAAUAAAGUUUGCUAAUGACGGUACCGUAAGAAUAAGCACCGGCUAACUACGUGCCAGCAGCCGCGGUAAUACGUAGGGUGCAAGCGUUAAUCGGAAUUACUGGGCGUAAAGCGUGCGCAGGCGGUUAUAUAAGACAGAUGUGAAAUCCCCGGGCUCAACCUGGGACCUGCAUUUGUGACUGUAUAGCUAGAGUACGGUA